CUGGAGUGAGGGAUUAUGGGAAGGCCAAGCUAUUGCCGUCCAGUGUGUCCCGACACAAGGUUUACCGGCAGUAUGCUGAUGCUGGUAGGGAACAUACUCUCUGUGAAAGUAAUUUACGGGCGAUAUUGAAGAAAUUUUAGUUAGUUGUAUACCAACACUUGAUCCUUUUAUUGACAUUUCUGAUGGUGGGGCAUAUGCUUGUUCAUAUCAAUUUAUUACUAUUUUAACGUUAUCAUUUUGUUUAGUGUUUCUCCUACACAAAAAGUGAAAGUGUAUAUGCUGAUAAGGACCUUAGUGUAUAGAUUGCUUCUUCUGUUAUUGUUAUCAUUAUUUCUUGAUUUAUUUGUUCAUUAAUUUUUUAUAAAUGUGUUACUGGCACUAGAUAAAAGGUGGAUCUGUAUUUUAAGUGUGAAAACUGCUUAUGGUCCUACUUGUGCAAAUAGAGUAUGGAAGAGUAAAAGUAAAAGCGCAUUCUCUAUCUCAGGAUUUAAAUAAAGAAGUUGCCUUUUCUGUUAAUGUACAAUGAACAUCUCAUAAUCAAGAAACAGUUUGUUCUAUGGACAUUGCCGUAUUUAUUAAAAGAUUGUGUUAAUGGUUGCUGAUUAUCCUGAAAUGAACGACAGAACUUACAUGGUAGUAAAUUCAUGACAAGUACAGUAGUAAUAAUUCUAAAGUAGGCUGAGGUCUGUAAAAACUCGGCUGAGAGUACUAAUACUAGUACAAAGUUAACAGCUCUACAUUUUUUUGUUUUUAUUUACUGAUUGUUUUAUGUUGUUUCUUUUAAUGAUCAAUUU
Long non-coding RNA from Amphimedon queenslandica, 794 nucleotides. RefSeq lists it as uncharacterized. The record is from RefSeq and is a predicted model, not a curated record. The transcript has 6 exons. NCBI's taxonomy places the organism in Eukaryota, Metazoa, Porifera, Demospongiae, Haplosclerida, Niphatidae.